This 701-nucleotide long non-coding RNA is filed under the name Anas platyrhynchos platyrhynchos (common mallard). Its description in RNAcentral is "lncRNA (ENSAPLG00000020241.1)". The record is from RNAcentral. Lineage: Eukaryota; Metazoa; Chordata; Aves; Anseriformes; Anatidae.
AUGCUGGAGGAGCCCUCGCUGGGGACGCAGGCGGCGCGGGCAGGAGGAGGGCUGGGAGCAGCGUCAGCUUCAAAGCAGCACGCGCCACGCCAGGCUCCGAGCAGCUCCAGCUCCGGUGAGGUCAGCGAUACGAUGCCAGAGAUGAAAAUACCCUCCUGCUUAAAACAAAAUCCCUUCCUUCCACCGCCGGCGGCACGGGAUGAGCACCGACAGCCUGAAGGAGAAAUGAAAGCUCUUUCUCCAAGGUCACCGAGUAGCAGCGACUGUGUCCUGGUUUCAGAAAGUGCGGGGAAGGAUUUACCCACGGCCCCUCUCCUCCUCCUCCCUGCAGGUUUCAUGCUGGAUUCCCAAAACACAGGUCUCCACCCCACAGGAAAAAAAAAGAACCAUCCAUCAGAAGUCACCCACCAGCAGCUUGGGACACAUCCUCGGAAGCAACCGAGUUCCCUGGCAGCUUGCUGGUGAUCCUGCCCUCCUGCAAAAUGAAAUGAACUGGCUUAACCAGCAAGGAAAUCGGUGCAAAGCUCUGGGAAGGGGUUUGAGCUACAGGAGCUGCUCCAGAGUGGCACCAGGUUGAUACCAGGCUGUCGAUAGCUGCAGCUCAGCGGAUGGAUGAGGAUGGAAUCGUGUCUUUGUCCCUCUGGGCACUCAAAUGCCUCCAGUUUAGCAAAAUAAAGUUUUUGUAAUUCUGUAGUGGUACA